This is a long non-coding RNA of Dendroctonus ponderosae (mountain pine beetle), 2667 nucleotides long. RefSeq lists it as uncharacterized. The record is from RefSeq and is a predicted model, not a curated record. The transcript is spliced from 2 exons. Lineage: Eukaryota; Metazoa; Arthropoda; Insecta; Coleoptera; Curculionidae.
CGGGCGCCCAAAUCAACGGGCGCGGACAUCGCAGAUAAAGGACGACGCAAAAUGGACAGAGACGGUGGAGUUUCAAUGGCAUUACCUGCUUCUUCGGGGGGCGGAUUGUUGGGCAGCAAAUGCAGUGUUCAAAGUGGACAAUUGGGAAUUUGCAGAUCGUCUGUGGGCUUGGGGUUUCAUUUUUUAUUUUUAACUGGAUUCUUGCGAUUUGAGUCCAAUUUUCGGGAAUAGCAGUCAAAAGCGGGUCUUCACACACUGAAGAAAGUCCAACCGCAGGAGAUGCAAACUUGCAUUAUAGUGUGUAUAAAUCCGGGUUGUGGUUGAAUUCAACCCUUGAAUGAAGAUGGCCUAGCGCUUUCGACUAUUAAGUCAUCAUCAGGGACGACGGGUUACUGUGAAUGGGUCGAACUGGAGCAGUUUUCACUUUCCCCCAAAGGAAAUUUUCUAUAUGAAACAGCAAUAUAAUCAGUGGCGGGCGCUGCACUACCGCAGAGCUCCCAUAGGGAGAAAGAUUUGCUUGCGCGGUUUGCUCUUACCUCCGAUGAGCUACAAGCGCGAAGGGCAAUCCACGCAAGUUAAGUUUCUUUUUCUGUAAACGAGAUAUUUUUGAGGUAGAUUUUUGCACGGUUUUUAUAGAAUAGCGAAAAGGUGUGCGUCAAGUGCAAACCAGGCAAGAAAAAUCUCUUGCUCUUUAAGGGUACGUGAUAAUCGCGGACACGCGAAAAACGUGGAGCGAGGCGAUGGGAGACGAAAUAUGUAGUUUGUGUUUUGUCGGCGACCGCAGCGAAUUUUGUCACUCUUUAGCUGAAUUUUUUUGAAAAACUCACUUUUGGAGAAAAUUUCUGGAAGUUUUCUGGAUUUUUCAGUCACUAAGUCGAAGCGAUUGAGCGUUUGGGAACACGGAUUUUUCAAAAAUUCGCCAACGAAAAACUAAAAAUUUCUGAAUGCGGCUGAUAACAUCACUGGAAAGAGCAAAUGCGGUGCUUUACAUGUGGAAAAACGGACUUUAAUCGGGAAUUUCUAAGUGUGUCCAGGAUUUUUCGGAUACUAAAAUAGAAUCGAUUGAUCGUUGGCAACACCGAUUUUUUUAAAAUUCGCCACGGAAAAACCAACAAAACCAGCAGCUUUAAAGGAGGAAAAACUCACUUUCCAGGGAAAUUUCUGAGAGUGUCCAGUAUUUUUGCAGUUACUAAGACAAGGCGAUUGGCCGUUGCAAAACACCAAUUUUUCACAAACUUGACCCGAAAAAGCCAAAAAUCCCGCAAUCUUGAACAUAAUUUCACUCGAAAGAGAAAAUCUGCACCUUUUGAAAAAGGAAAACCCAGUUUUAAUAGGAAAUUUCUGGGAGUUUUAAUGAUUUUUUCGGAUACCAAAUGGAAGCGAUUGAUCGUUGGCAACACCGAUUUUUCAAAAAUUCGCCACGGAAAAACCAAGAAUUUCUCAAGCAUGCCCAGAAUAUCACGCGAAAGAGAAAACCGACGGCUUUAAACGAGGAAAAACUCACUUUCUAGGGAAAUUUCUGAGAGUUUCCAGUACUUGGAAAGGCAAGGCGAUUGGCUGUUGGAAAACACUAAUUUUUCACAAAUUUUACCCGAAAAAGCCAAAAAUCCCGCAAUCUUGUUUCAUUUGAUUGAUUUGUGAUCAUCAGGGGCGACGGCUCUGAUGAUGACUUAAAAGUCGAAAGCGCCAGGCCAUUUUUAUUCAAUGGUUGAAUGUAACCACAACCCGGAUUUAUACACGCUAUAAUGCAAGUUUGCAUCCCCUGUGAUUGGAUUGAAAUUUGCCAACUUGAUCAAGUUUUGUCAGGUUUUUGCCCCACCUUUACGAUUCCUGCAGGAGACUUUUUCCAUUUUUAUGUUCACUGAUUUUUUUAAACAGAGAUUCGCGUGUCCUGAUGUAAAAGCCGCAUUUUUCCAUUGUGUCUUUUUCAAUGAAAUUCUGGAAAACCAUUCAAUUUCUUCGGAAUUUCAAGAAACACCCAAACUUAUCAGUCCCUUAAUUAAAAUGUUGAACGCCUUUUUUAAAACCUGGUUUUCUUCAGCAAAUGAAAAGCUGCGCAAAACUUUGCAAAGCCGCUUCACAAUUUUCCCGGAAGCUUAAACGACUUUCGCACCCAUUGAAACUGUCCACAGUUUAAAGGUUCCACACCCCCAACAAUCCGACCCCAAACAAGUUGUACAGUUUAGCGUAGAACUUAAGAACCAUUACGAUAUUACCCCAUAAGUGCGUUAACCCUAAUCGAUAAUUUAUUAGCCCUUAUUAUGAAAAUAGCGUUAUUACUUGUAGCAGACAGAUACAUAUUCAGAAUGUGCAUGUUACACACUGAUGGUCAAAAUUGCUCAAAUCAAGCUGGAUCGAAUUGAAUGGAAACCGGAGUCCGCUGUUAUCCAAAGAUGCUUAAACGGUGUAGCAACGUGUAGACGAUUUAAGUCCCCAAUUGGAGGUGAAAAUUAAGCGUUAGAGACGAAGCAACCACCAUCUUCGCGAUGUGCUUUCCUCUGUAUAUACGUACAUUCUUAGGUACUUAGGGCGUUCGUCAGGUAUAUAAUUUAAUAACAAUUGCAUAUGUUUAUCAAUUAAGUGCCAUUUGUACUGUUUAAUGGUAUAGUUAACGGAAUUGUGUACAUAAUUAGGAGGAUGUUCAAUAAAUAUUUAUGAGGAAAUGUA